RNAcentral lists this ribosomal RNA (557 nucleotides) under uncultured bacterium. Its description in RNAcentral is "bacterial SSU rRNA". It matches the Rfam family "Bacterial small subunit ribosomal RNA", at positions 102 to 694 of the family's 1533-position model. The record is from RNAcentral.
ACGGGUGAGUAACACGUGGGAACCUUCCUAGAGGUACGGAACAACGCAGGGAAACUUGCGCUAAUACCGUAUGUGCUCUUGCGAGGAAAGAUUUAUCGCCUUUAGACGGGCCCGCGUCGGAUUAGCUAGUUGGUGGGGUAAUGGCCUACCAAGGCAACGAUCCGUAGCUGAUCUGAGAGGAUGAUCAGCCACACUGGAACUGAGACACGGUCCAGACUCCUACGGGAGGCAGCAGUGGGGAAUCUUGGACAAUGGGCGCAAGCCUGAUCCAGCCAUGCCGCGUGAGUGAAGAAGGCCUUCGGGUUGUAAAGCUCUUUUGUCAGGGACGAUAAUGACGGUACCUGAAGAAUAAGCCCCGGCAAACUUCGUGCCAGCAGCCGCGGUAAUACGAAGGGGGCUAGCGUUGUUCGGAUUUACUGGGCGUAAAGCGCACGUAGGUGGAUAGUUAAGUGAGGGGUGAAAUCCCGAGGCUCAACCUCGGAACUGCCUUUCAUACUGGCUAUCUUGAGUUCGGAAGAGGUGAGUGGAAUUCCUAGUGUAGAGGUGAAAUUCGUAGA